GACAGAGGGUGCGAACGUUGUUCGGAAUUACUGGGCGUAAAGCGCGUGUAGGCGGCAGCGCAAGUCGGGCGUGAAAUCCCACGGCUCAACCGUGGAAGUGCACUCGAAACUGCAGGGCUAGAGUCCUGGAGAGGAAGGUGGAAUGCUUGGUGUAGAGGUGAAAUUCGUAGAUAUCAAGCGGAACACCAGUGGCGAAGGCGGCUCACUGGACCGGAACUGACGCUGAGGCGCGAAAGCGUGGGGAGCAAACAGG
This 253-nucleotide ribosomal RNA is filed under the name uncultured bacterium. Its description in RNAcentral is "partial 16S ribosomal RNA". It matches the Rfam family "Bacterial small subunit ribosomal RNA", at positions 524 to 776 of the family's 1533-position model. The record is from RNAcentral.